Molecule: ribosomal RNA, 511 nt
Filed under: Oryctolagus cuniculus (rabbit)
Lineage: Eukaryota; Metazoa; Chordata; Mammalia; Lagomorpha; Leporidae
Description: partial 12S ribosomal RNA
Source: RNAcentral
UAAAGGUUUGGUCCUGGCUUUUUAUUGUUUUGUAGCAACCUUACACAUGCAAGACUACUCCUCACGCCAGUGAAAUGCCCUUAACAUCAAACUAGAUCAAGAGGAGCGGACAUUAAGCACAGUAAUCAGUAGCUCAAGAUGCCUUGCUUAACCACACCCCCAAGGGAUACAGCAGUGAUAAAUAUUUAGCAAUGAACGUAAGUUUGUCUAAGUUAUGCUACUUUAGGGUUGGUAAAUCUCGUGCCAGCCACCGCGGUCAUACGAUUAACCCAAAUUAAUAAAUAUCCGGCGUAAAGCGUGAUUAGAAUAAACAACAAAAUAAAAUCAAAUAACAACUAAGCUGUAGAAAGUAAUAGUUGCAAACAAAAAUAAACAACGAAAGUGAUUUUAUACUCUUCGAACUCACGAUAGCUAAGGCCCAAACUGGGAUUAGAUACCCCACUAUGCUUAGCCCUAAACUUUGAUAAUUUCAUAACAAAAUUAUUCGCCAGAGAACUACAAGCCAAAGCUU